GACAGAGGUGCCAAGCGUUAGGCGGAAUCACUGGGCUUAAAGCGUGUGUAGGCGGAUUGGGAAGUACCUUGUGAAAUCCCACGGCUCAACCGUGGAACUGCUUGGUAUACUGCUUAUCUUGGGCCACUUAGGGGCUACCGGAACAAACGGUGGAGCGGUGAAAUGCGUAGAUAUCGUGUGGAACGCCAAUGGUGAAAACAGGUAGCUGGGAGUGUGCCGACGCUGAGACACGAAAGCCAGGGGAGCGAACGGG
This 253-nucleotide ribosomal RNA is filed under the name uncultured bacterium. RNAcentral describes it as "partial 16S ribosomal RNA". It matches the Rfam family "Bacterial small subunit ribosomal RNA", at positions 524 to 776 of the family's 1533-position model. The record is from RNAcentral.